CCCUCACCUUAUUCGUGGGGUUCAUGGAUUUGCUGAAGAUCUUAUGGGGAAAAAAGUUGCUACAAUAUUUGGAAAGUGGGAUGAAAGCAUGUAUUAUGUUAAUGGUGACAGGGGCAACAAUAUGUAUUAUGUCUUUCUAUUUUAUAUAUCCUACGGAUUCCAGGCUUAGACCAGACCAACGACAUUUGGAGAAUGGAGAAUAUGAGAAGGCAAAUGCUGAGAAACAACGUUUAGAGAAAAAGCAAAGAAUGUCAAGGAAAUUACAAGAAAGUGGAUGGAAACCAAAAUAGUUCAAAAGAAGAAGUGAAGAUGGACCUUUCUGCUACAUGGGUCGGUAGUCCUUACUAUGUCGUCCCAGAAGUGUUACGGAAGCAUUAUGGUCCAGAAUGUGAUGUUUGGAGCGCUGGGGUAAUCAUUUAUAUUUUACAUAGUGGAGUGCCCCCAUUUUGGGAUGAAUUGGAGCAAGGAAUAUUUGAGCAGGUUUUAAGGGGAGAACUCGAUUUUAUCUCUGAACCAUGGCCUAGCAUAUCUGAAAGUGCAAAGGAUCUUGUUCGAAGAAUGCUUGUAAGGGACCCUAAGAAGCGGCUUACGGCCCAUGAAGUUCUUAGUAAGUUAAUGGUCUUGAUUGAUUAUUAUGUCAGGUGACUUAAUUUGUUUAGCAUCCAUAGUCAUACAUUUUAUUUUUCUAUUGUAUAGAUGCAUCUUUUUAGUCUAAAUAAGCAAUAUCAUUUGACACUGGCAUGAUUUUUUUUUUAUCAUAAAGUAAAAGAAAUAUGCAAUAUGAAUUGUUUUAUGAUCUAGAGUUCUGACCCUCUUUUUUAAAAAUUCUAAUGGUAUAAACUAGAAUGUGGUGAUUUGAGCAUUAGUAGUAGCUUUUCCCAUUUAAAAUAUGACGACUUAUAGUUUUUUUUUUCAUUCCAAAUAAUAUGUUCUUCUAACUUAAAACUAGGCUUCACAUAUUUGUUUUAAUGCUUCUAUUAUGUCGUAGGCCACCCUUGGGUUCAAGUUGGUGGUGUUGCUCCUGACAAACCUCUUGAUUCCGCUGUUUUAUAGCGCUUGAAACAAUUCUCUACUAUGAACAAGCUGAAGAAAAUAGCCAUUAGGAUGUCGAUAAUAGUGGACAGAUCACUCUUGAGGAACUAAAGAAUGGUUUGGAAAAGGUAGAUGCAAAUCUCAAGGAUUCCGAAAUAAGUGGACUAAUGCAAGCGGUAAGUAAUGAUUCUGAGUAAUGAUUCUGAUUCAGGGAACUGUAAUAAGGCUUGUAAAAAUUGUAGAAUCAAUCUUGUUUGCUAUUUAUUGAAACCUAUUCCGGUUGUUUUGUUAAAAAAAAAAUUAUUUCCUGAAUCGUUCUUUCCGAUCGGAUAAUUUGAAAUGAGAAUGAGAAUGCGAAUGAAUGCAGUUGACAGAAAGAGGAAAAAAAUAAAAAGAAAAAACUGACCUUAAAGUGGGAAUAUAAACAAGGAUUCAUCUUCUUUCCUCUAACUACUACAAGUUGAUGAAGUUAGAUUAUAGUCUAAUAUAUCCUUUGUAACAACUUCAAAGAUUGUUAGAUUAUAGUCUAACAUAAUUAUCCAUGUAAUAACAUUCUAUAUAAGUGUCUGAUGUAUGAGUGUUAUUAGCUAGCUUAUCAUGUAAUGUAAUUCUCUUGUUCCCCCACCCCCACUUUUUUUUUUUCUUUAUUUUCUUCCCAAUAUAUAUUUGGCUCAGAAAGCAUAGAUUUUAGUUUCACAUUUAUUUGUGCAUUCUCUCUCUUUCUAUUGGAAUAAAAGAAUAAAUAUGUAUUUAUAUAAUUAUUAUUGUUUUUCUUAAUUGAACAAAUAUAAAUUAUUAUUAUUGUAAUUCUUGUAAUUUUUUAAAUAAAUAAUUAAAUUUUAAAUAAAAUUAAUAUUUACGUGCUUCGGCA
This is an RNA transcript of Cannabis sativa, 1903 nucleotides long. It is a transcript of the gene named calcium-dependent protein kinase 20-like, with no coding region annotated. The record is from RefSeq and is a predicted model, not a curated record. Lineage: Eukaryota; Viridiplantae; Streptophyta; Magnoliopsida; Rosales; Cannabaceae. The transcript has 5 exons.